This 425-nucleotide ribosomal RNA is filed under the name uncultured bacterium. Its description in RNAcentral is "partial 16S ribosomal RNA". It matches the Rfam family "Bacterial small subunit ribosomal RNA", at positions 354 to 796 of the family's 1533-position model. The record is from RNAcentral.
GUGGGGAAUCUUGCGCAAUGGGCGAAAGCCUGACGCAGCCAUGCCGCGUGAAUGAUGAAGGUCUUAGGAUUGUAAAAUUCUUUCACCGGGGACGAUAAUGACGGUACCCGGAGAAGAAGCUCCGGCUAACUUCGUGCCAGCAGCCGCGGUAAUACGAAGGGGGCUAGCGUUGCUCGGAAUUACUGGGCGUAAAGGGCGCGUAGGCGGACAGCUUAGUCAGAGGUGAAAGCCCAGGGCUCAACCUUGGAAUUGCCUUUGAUACUGGCUGUCUUGAGUUUGGGAGAGGUGAGUGGAACUCCGAGUGUAGAGGUGAAAUUAGUAGAUAUUCGGAAGAACACCAGUGGCGAAGGCGACUCACUGGCCCAAUACUGACGCUGAGGCGCGAAAGCGUGGGGAGCAAACAGGAUUAGAUACCCCUGUAGUCC